This 473-nucleotide ribosomal RNA is filed under the name uncultured bacterium. Its description in RNAcentral is "partial 16S ribosomal RNA". It matches the Rfam family "Bacterial small subunit ribosomal RNA", at positions 28 to 507 of the family's 1533-position model. The record is from RNAcentral.
GACGAACGCUGGCGGCGUGCUUAACACAUGCAAGUCGAACGGUAAGGCCCUUCGGGGUACACGAGUGGCGAACGGGUGAGUAACACGUGGGUAAUCUGCCCUGCACAUCGGGAUAAGCCUGGGAAACUGGGUCUAUUACCAAUUGGGACACAGGACACCUUGUCCUGGGGGGAAAGCCUUUUCGGGGUGGGAUGGGCCCGCGGCCUAUCAGCUUGUUGGUGGGGUGAUGGCCUACCAAGGCGACGACGGGUAGCCGGCCUGAGAGGGUGUCCGGCCACACUGGGACUGAGAUACGGCCCAGACUCCUACGGGAGGCAGCAGUGGGGAAUAUUGCACAAUGGGCGAAAGCCUGAUGCAGCGACGCCGCGUGGGGGAUGACGGCCUUCGGGUUGUAAACCUCUUUCACCAUCGACGAAGGUCCGGGUUUUCUCGGGCUGACGGUAGGUGGAGAAGAAGCACCGGCCAACUACGUG